GAGAGAGUGAGAGAAAGGUGAGAAAAGAAGAUGCGGUCUGUGAAAUCAAUCCAGAGGGUGGGAGUGUUAAGUCGGUUGCAUGAUCAAUAGGGCGAUCAAUUGAUUCGAUUCUGAGAGAGAGAAGAGAAGAGAGAAGGGUGAGAAUUGGUCGUUGCAUCAAAGAAGAGAAAACACAAGAUAGAAUUGAUCUGUCUUUAUUGAAAAUUAGCUAGCCGUUUGGGUUUUUAUCUCAGUUUUAUUCUUAAUUUGGCUUUCUAGGGUUUUCGCUUCUGAUACUUUCCCUGUU
This 286-nucleotide long non-coding RNA is filed under the name Actinidia chinensis (golden kiwifruit). Its description in RNAcentral is "long non-coding RNA (ACHI_LNC000417)". Lineage: Eukaryota; Viridiplantae; Streptophyta; Magnoliopsida; Ericales; Actinidiaceae. The record is from RNAcentral.